This is a long non-coding RNA of Oxyura jamaicensis (ruddy duck), 296 nucleotides long. RefSeq lists it as uncharacterized. The transcript has 3 exons. The record is from RefSeq and is a predicted model, not a curated record. Lineage: Eukaryota; Metazoa; Chordata; Aves; Anseriformes; Anatidae.
CUGCUAAUAUCUCAUAUGGAAAAUAAGAUAAAAAGAAGACAAGUACCAAAACUUAUGGAGAUUAUUGUAGUAACAUGCUUAAAGAUGCACAAGAUAACAGACGUUAUAACAUUAAUGGGGAUAUGAUUUUUCUUAUCAGCUUUCUUUUUCACAUCUCACACUUUACAAUGCGUGACAACAAUUAUCUUCGUAAUACAAAAGAAGGUAGAAAAGGAAGACAUAAUAAAGAAUCACAUACCAGUUCUACUCAAACCUAUACACAAAAUAAGGUGCAUGAUCACUUACUUACUCCAGGA